Molecule: long non-coding RNA, 500 nt
Organism: Gastrolobium bilobum
Lineage: Eukaryota; Viridiplantae; Streptophyta; Magnoliopsida; Fabales; Fabaceae
Exons: 3
Source: RefSeq, a predicted model, not a curated record
CCGAAGUCGAACCAGACUUGCAGCACUUCGGGGAAGAUUGUUGCGCCUCUGGAAAUUUCCCACACGGACGCGCCCAUUUCGAACAGAGAGUACACCGCCACUAUACUAUUUGCAGCUAGAACGAAUCUGAACGGAUUCACGUUGUACCAGCGUGGAGAAUCGGUGCCGCGAGUGUUGGUGACCAUGAAGACGGAGGAGGUGAGGGAGAACGAGAAGGUGGUGAGGCGGAAGAUGAGGAUGAGGGAAUUGAAACGACGCAGUUUGUGUUCGGCCACCGUGGAGUGGAAACGAGGUUGCGCCGUCGGUGAACGGUUAUCGCCUCCGUUGCGGAUGGCCUGAGGGGAUCGCAUGGCCGUUCGAUUUGGUUUCAUGAUGAAGGAGUCACGGACGAGAGCAAGAGUUCCAUGAGUCAAGAGAGAGAGAGAGAGAGAGCUCGAUAUGUGUUCGAUAAAAGUUGUUCGAGACAGAAAGCGUGCAACAGGCAAGGCAUGGUUGCGAGG